AAGACUAUACUUUCAGGGAUCAUUUCUAUAGUUUCUAACUUGAGAAAUGUGCUCCUAAAGUGAUCAGUCUCGUCAACCACGAUGAUGAGUCUUGAUAUUCUCCUCUGAGCGUGAAACGGGUUGGAGUUAAUGAUUCAAUUCAUACGACUCCAACCAUUGAUGAUCGUUCUUUGCUUCUUCCGGGAGCAAUGAGGUGGGGAAUAUGAUCAGAGUGGU
Molecule: small nucleolar RNA, 216 nt
Organism: Nothobranchius furzeri (turquoise killifish)
Lineage: Eukaryota; Metazoa; Chordata; Actinopteri; Cyprinodontiformes; Nothobranchiidae
Gene: U3
Rfam family: Small nucleolar RNA U3
About the family: Small nucleolar RNAs (snoRNAs) are involved in the processing and modification of rRNA in the nucleolus. There are two main classes of snoRNAs: the box C/D class, and the box H/ACA class. U3 snoRNA is a member of the box C/D class.
Source: Ensembl